RNAcentral lists this ribosomal RNA (700 nucleotides) under uncultured Alphaproteobacteria bacterium. RNAcentral describes it as "bacterial SSU rRNA". It matches the Rfam family "Bacterial small subunit ribosomal RNA", at positions 94 to 830 of the family's 1533-position model. The record is from RNAcentral. Lineage: Bacteria; Pseudomonadati; Pseudomonadota; Alphaproteobacteria.
AGUGGCGCACGGGUGCGUAACGCGUGGGAAUCUGCCCUUAGGUACGGAAUAACUCAGAGAAAUUUGUGCUAAUACCGUAUGAUGUCGAAAGACCAAAGAUUUAUCGCCUAAGGAUGAGCCCGCGUAAGAUUAGCUUGUUGGUGAGGUAAAAGCUCACCAAGGCGACGAUCUUUAGCUGGUCUGAGAGGAUGAUCAGCCACACUGGGACUGAGACACGGCCCAGACUCCUACGGGAGGCAGCAGUGGGGAAUAUUGGACAAUGGGCGAAAGCCUGAUCCAGCAAUGCCGCGUGAGUGAUGAAGGCCUUAGGGUUGUAAAGCUCUUUUACCAGGGAUGAUAAUGACAGUACCUGGAGAAUAAGCUCCGGCUAACUCCGUGCCAGCAGCCGCGGUAAUACGGAGGGAGCUAGCGUUGUUCGGAAUUACUGGGCGUAAGGAGUACGUAGGCGGUGAUUCAAGUCAGAGGUGAAAGCCUGGAGCUCAACUCCAGAACUGCCUUUGAAACUAGAUCGCUAGAAUUAUGGAGAGGUUAGUGGAAUUCCGAGCGUAGAGGUGAAAUUCGUAGAUAUUCGGAAGAACACCAGUGGCGAAGGCGACUAACUGGACAUAUAUUGACGCUGAGGUACGAAAGCGUGGGGAGCAAACAGGAUUAGAUACCUGGUAGUCCACGCCGUAAACGAUGAUAACUAGCUGUUCGGGCU